Molecule: ribosomal RNA, 507 nt
Filed under: uncultured bacterium
Lineage: Bacteria
Description: bacterial SSU rRNA
Rfam family: Bacterial small subunit ribosomal RNA
Source: RNAcentral
GAGAUGCUUUGGUGCCUUCGGGAACUCUGAGACAGGUGCUGCAUGGCUGUCGUCAGCUCGUGUUGUGAAAUGUUGGGUUAAGUCCCGCAACGAGCGCAACCCUUUAUCCUUUGUUGCCAGCGGUCCGGCCGGGAACUCAAAGGAGACUGCCAGUGAUAAACUGGAGGAAGGUGGGGAUGACGUCAAGUCAUCAUGGCCCUUACGAGUAGGGCUACACACGUGCUACAAUGGCGCAUACAAAGAGAAGCGACCUCGCGAGAGCAAGCGGACCUCAUAAAGUGCGUCGUAGUCCGGAUUGGAGUCUGCAACUCGACUCCAUGAAGUCGGAAUCGCUAGUAAUCGUGGAUCAGAAUGCCACGGUGAAUACGUUCCCGGGCCUUGUACACACCGCCCGUCACACCAUGGGAGUGGGUUGCAAAAGAAGUAGGUAGCUUAACCUUCGGGAGGGCGCUUACCACUUUGUGAUUCAUGACUGGGGUGAAGUCGUAACAAGGUAAGCGUAGUGCU